RNAcentral lists this ribosomal RNA (377 nucleotides) under uncultured bacterium. Its description in RNAcentral is "bacterial SSU rRNA". It matches the Rfam family "Bacterial small subunit ribosomal RNA", at positions 28 to 408 of the family's 1533-position model. The record is from RNAcentral.
GACGGACGCUGGCGGCGUGCUUAACACAUGCAAGUCGAGCGGUAAGGCCCUUCGGGGUACACGAGCGGCGAACGGGUGAGUAACACGUGGGUGACCUGCCUCUAGCUCUGGGAUAAGCCUGGGAAACUGGGUCUAAUACCGGAUAUGACUCCACGGCGCAUGUUGUGGGGUGGAAAGCCUUGUGUGGCUAGAGAUGGGCCCGCGGCCUAUCAGCUUGUUGGUGGGGUGAUGGCCUACCAAGGCGACGACGGGUAGCCGGCCUGAGAGGGCGACCGGCCACACUGGGACUGAGACACGGCCCAGACUCCUACGGGAGGCAGCAGUGGGGAAUCUUGCGCAAUGGGCGAAAGCCUGACGCAGCGACGCCGCGUGAGGGA